Molecule: non-coding RNA, 101 nt
Filed under: Gorilla gorilla gorilla (western lowland gorilla)
Lineage: Eukaryota; Metazoa; Chordata; Mammalia; Primates; Hominidae
Source: RNAcentral
AGCCUCCCAAAGUGCUGGGAUUACAGGUGUGAGGCGCCAUGCCCAGCUACAAAUGUUUGUGUUCCUUUUCCACUCCCAGUGCUUCACUUGACUAGCCAAAA